GACGAACGCUGGCAGCGUGCUUAACACGUGCAAGUCGAGCGGUAAGGCCCUUUCGGGGGUACACGAGCGGCGAACGGGUGAGUAACACGUGGGUGACCUGCCCUCAGCUCUGGGAUAAGCCUGGGAAACCGGGUCUAAUACCGGAUAUGACUCCAUGACGCAUGUUGUGGGGUGGAAAGCCUUGUGCGGCUGAGGAUGGGCCCGCGGCCUAUCAGCUUGUUGGUGGGGUGAUGGCCUACCAAGGCGACGACGGGUAGCCGGCCUGAGAGGGCGACCGGCCACACUGGGACUGAGACACGGCCCAGACUCCUACGGGAGGCAGCAGUGGGGAAUCUUGCGCAAUGGGCGAAAGCCUGACGCAGCGACGCCGCGUGA
This 375-nucleotide ribosomal RNA is filed under the name uncultured bacterium. RNAcentral describes it as "bacterial SSU rRNA". It matches the Rfam family "Bacterial small subunit ribosomal RNA", at positions 28 to 404 of the family's 1533-position model. The record is from RNAcentral.